AGCGAACGCUGGCGGCAGGCCUAACACAUGCAAGUCGAACGAACCUUUCGGGGUUAGUGGCGGACGGGUGAGUAACACGUGGGAACGUGCCUUUAGGUUCGGAAUAACUCAGGGAAACUUGUGCUAAUACCGAAUGUGCCCAUCGGGGGAAAGAUUAAUCGCCUUUAGAGCGGCCCGCGUCUGAUUAGCUAGUUGGUUGAGGUAAUGGCUCACCACGGCGACGAUCAGUAGCUGGUCUGAGAGGAUGAUCAGCCACAUUGGGACUGAGACACGGCCCAAACUCCUACGGGAGGCAGCAGUGGGGAAUCUUGCGCAAUGGGCGAAAGCCUGACGCAGCCAUGCCGCGUGAAUGAUGAAGGUCUUAGGAUUGUAAAAUUCUUUCACCGGGGACGAUAAUGACGGUACCCGGAGAAGAAGCCCCGGCUAACUUCGUG
RNAcentral lists this ribosomal RNA (434 nucleotides) under uncultured bacterium. Its description in RNAcentral is "partial 16S ribosomal RNA". It matches the Rfam family "Bacterial small subunit ribosomal RNA", at positions 29 to 507 of the family's 1533-position model. The record is from RNAcentral.